Molecule: long non-coding RNA, 669 nt
Organism: Polypterus senegalus (gray bichir)
Lineage: Eukaryota; Metazoa; Chordata; Cladistia; Polypteriformes; Polypteridae
Exons: 3
Source: RefSeq, a predicted model, not a curated record
UACCAGCAAGUCAUGUUUAACAAAACUAGGUUCGAAGUGAAAAUGUAAUUGAUGGACACACAUUCCGCCCAACCGCAGGAGGCGUAACAAUUUGACACACACAAACAGAUGAAGUGACACAUAUUUAUGAAUUAAAAUAGCCUUUGUGUCUGCACAUUUAUUUCAUUACAUGUACUGUAUAUACUCGAAAGACUUGGGUCACGCAACUGUAAUCCUCUCCAAUCAGGCAAAGUUUGGCGCGCGUGUCGCACCUGUAAUCAGAUGAACGCAGCUGAUCUCAAUACGGCGCUAAUCCGCUGUGGCCGUGCACACCGCCGCUGUGCGCUAACGUUAGCGCGUUUGUUUUUACUGUACGCUGUAAUCUGACCAUCGUGAAUCUGGUAUGGUAGUAUAGAGUGGGAUUUCAUCUGCUUUUUCGCAUGUUUCUGCAAAGUAUGAUACUAAAGGCAGAGGUAGACAAGGGUUGCAGGGAGCCAUAUUCUAUCCUGGGAGACUCUUCUUGUGCUUUUUCAUUCCAAUCCUGAGCGAGAAUCUGCUCCACUAACAGGUCCACUCCUUUCUGCCAUUUGACCUGAGCUGUGACAUUACGGUUCUGGUGAGAGUCUCCUGUACCUGUGAAGGCUGCAUUGUAACGGUGGAUCUUUGGAGAAUCUCUCUUCUCUCUCAUAG